Molecule: ribosomal RNA, 855 nt
Filed under: uncultured bacterium
Lineage: Bacteria
Description: bacterial SSU rRNA
Rfam family: Bacterial small subunit ribosomal RNA
Source: RNAcentral
CGUUUGGAAACGAACGCUAAUACCGCAUAACAUUAUGAUAUCGCAUGGUAUUGUAAUCAAAGGAGCAAUCCGCUGAUGGAUGGAUUCGCGUCCGAUUAGCUAGUUGGUGAGAUAACAGCUCACCAAGGCGACGAUCGGUAGCCGGACUGAGAGGUUGAGCGGCCACAUUGGGACUGAGACACGGCCCAGACUCCUACGGGAGGCAGCAGUGGGGGAUAUUGCACAAUGGGGGAAACCCUGAUGCAGCAACGCCGCGUGAGGGAAGAAGGUUUUCGGAUUGUAAACCUCUGUCCUAGGUGAAGAUAAUGACGGUAGCCUAGGAGGAAGCUCCGGCUAACUACGUGCCAGCAGCCGCGGUAAUACGUAGGGAGCGAGCGUUGUCCGGAAUUACUGGGUGUAAAGGGUGCGUAGGCGGCAAGAAAAGUCAGAUGUGAAAUACCGGGGCUUAACCCCGGAGCUGCAUUUGAAACUUUUUUGCUUGAGUGAAGUAGAGGCAAGCGGAAUUCCCUGUGUAGCGGUGAAAUGCGUAGAGAUAGGGAGGAACACCAGUGGGCGAAGGCGGCUUGCUGGGCUUCAACUGACGCUGAGGCACGAAAGCGUGGGUAGCAAACAGGAUUAGAUACCCUGGUAGUCCACGCUGUAAACGAUGGUUACUAGGUGUGGGCGCAAAAGCGUCCGUGCCGGAGUAACACAAUAAGUAAUCCACCUGGGGAGUACGACCGCAAGUUGAACUCAAAGGAAUUGACGGGGGCCCGCACAAGCAGUGGAAGUAUGUGGUUUAAUUCGAAGCAACGCGAAGAACCUUACCAGGUCUUGACAUCCAACUAACGAGGUAGAGAUACGUUAGGUGCCCUU